Lonchura striata (white-rumped munia) is the source of this 993-nucleotide non-coding RNA. The record is from RefSeq and is a predicted model, not a curated record. Lineage: Eukaryota; Metazoa; Chordata; Aves; Passeriformes; Estrildidae.
GCCCCGCCGCGCCUCGGCGUGCCCGGCCCCUGCCGAGCCCUUAGAGUGCAAAGCUUGGCCUGGAGCACCGGCUGGGCUGUUGCUUCUAGUGACCGUGUUACGAGUGCUAGUACUCCACGCUGACGGUAGAAGUAAGAACUACUCCAGGGGAAAGAGAGUCUGGGAAGUAGCCGUCCAGGAGAAGAAAGUCUGUCUUCUGGCAGGAGAGGAGCUACAGCCCAUGGGAUACAACUGAUGAGAGGGAUGAAGGAAGGAACCAGCCUGGGGGAAAACCACAGGACUCUGGGGAGAAUACGGAACAAACCAUGUGAUACAACGUAAACCAUUCAGAAAGCUCCACUGAGUUAGGCUGCUCUUGAAGUACACGCCUUGACAAUUGGAAUACUUCAAAUGUCUUACUGGAUCCUGAGUUUUUAAAGCAAGUCAAGCCACACUUACUAAGGACUUCAAUAUUGUUGUUUGGAUACCUGCACAUCCUUCAUGUUCUACCUUUAAGCUACACUGGUGCAGGUAACAUGUAUUUGUGUUCAUGUUUGAUUUCUAAAGGUACUGCAAGUGAGUCAUUUGGCAGAAAUAGAGAGAUAGAUAUUUAUAAAAAGAACAGGAGGUUUAUAAGAUCUCAGGGUGUUUCUGUAUCUUCCAGUCAUUUUAGAUCUCCCCUAAAGAACCUCUAUUCAGUUCUUGAGAUUGAGAUUGCUGGAUAAACAGCAAUUACAAUAUGCGCAAUAAUAAAAAGAGAGAAGAGGCAAUUUUGAGUAACUGGCCACAAACAGAGAGAAGGCUAGUGUAUUGCAAACACACUAUAAGCACAUUGUGAUUUUCUUGCCAUGGAGUCAACUAUGCAUUAGUCCUGGUCUAGAUUACAGUGGUACCAGAACAGGUUUUACUGAUAUUGAAUGAAUAUAGCAUGCUUCUUUCCUCCAUAGCUGGCGCACAAUAUCCUUCAAAAGUAACACCUUAUUUCUACAACAUGCAGCAUAUGUUAUGUCAAAU